RNAcentral lists this ribosomal RNA (838 nucleotides) under Streptomyces sp. IM-7534. Its description in RNAcentral is "bacterial SSU rRNA". It matches the Rfam family "Bacterial small subunit ribosomal RNA", at positions 38 to 889 of the family's 1533-position model. Lineage: Bacteria; Bacillati; Actinomycetota; Actinomycetes; Kitasatosporales; Streptomycetaceae. The record is from RNAcentral.
GGCGGCGUGCUUAACACAUGCAAGUCGAACGAUGAACCUGCUUCGGUGGGGGAUUAGUGGCGAACGGGUGAGUAACACGUGGGCAAUCUGCCCUGCACUCUGGGACAAGCCCUGGAAACGGGGUCUAAUACCGGAUAUGACCUGCCGAGGCAUCUUGGUGGGUGGAAAGCUCCGGCGGUGCAGGAUGAGCCCGCGGCCUAUCAGCUUGUUGGUGGGGUGAUGGCCUACCAAGGCGACGACGGGUAGCCGGCCUGAGAGGGCGACCGGCCACACUGGGACUGAGACACGGCCCAGACUCCUACGGGAGGCAGCAGUGGGGAAUAUUGCACAAUGGGCGGAAGCCUGAUGCAGCGACGCCGCGUGAGGGAUGACGGCCUUCGGGUUGUAAACCUCUUUCAGCAGGGAAGAAGCGUGAGUGACGGUACCUGCAGAAGAAGCGCCGGCUAACUACGUGCCAGCAGCCGCGGUAAUACGUAGGGCGCGAGCGUUGUCCGGAAUUAUUGGGCGUAAAGAGCUCGUAGGCGGCUUGUUGCGUCGGAUGUGAAAGCCCGGGGCUUAACUCCGGGUCUGCAUUCGAUACGGGCAGGCUAGAGUUCGGUAGGGGAGAUCGGAAUUCCUGGUGUAGCGGUGAAAUGCGCAGAUAUCAGGAGGAACACCGGUGGCGAAGGCGGAUCUCUGGGCCGAUACUGACGCUGAGGAGCGAAAGCGUGGGGAGCGAACAGGAUUAGAUACCCUGGUAGUCCACGCCGUAAACGUUGGGAACUAGGUGUGGGCGACAUUCCACGUCGUCCGUGCCGCAGCUAACGCAUUAAGUUCCCCGCCUGGGGAGUACGGCCGC